GCCGUAUCGACCCGGUCAGUAUCGAAGCAAACGCGUUAAGUGUCCCGCCUGGGGAGUACGCACGCAAGUGUGAAACUCAAAGGAAUUGACGGGGGCCCGCACAAGCGGUGGAGUAUGUGGUUUAAUUCGAUGCAACGCGAAGAACCUUACCAGGGAUUGACAUCCUACGAAUCUUCUUGAAAGGGAAGAGUGCCUUCGGGAACGUAGAGACAGGUGGUGCAUGGCUGUCGUCAGCUCGUGUCGUGAGAUGUUGGGUUAAGUCCCGCAACGAGCGCAACCCUCGUCCUUAGUUGCCAUCAUUAAGUUGGGCACUUUAAGGAGACUGCCGGUGACAAACCGGAGGAAGGUGGGGAUGACGUCAAGUCAUCAUGCCCCUUACAUCCUGGGCUACACACGUACUACAAUGCAACGGACAAAGGGCAGCCAACUAGCGAUAGUGCGCAAAUCCCAUAAACCGUUGCUCAGUUCAGAUUGCAGGCUGCAACUCGCCUGCAUGAAGGCGGAAUCGCUAGUAAUCGCAGGUCAGCAUACUGCGGUGAAUACGUUCCCGGGCCUUGUACACACCGCCCGUCACACCAUGGAAGUUGGCCACGCCCGAAGUCGUUACCCCAACCGUUUACGGAGGGGGACGCCGAAGGCAGGGCUGAUGACUGGGGUGAAGUCGUAACAAGGUAACC
Molecule: ribosomal RNA, 677 nt
Filed under: uncultured bacterium
Lineage: Bacteria
Description: bacterial SSU rRNA
Rfam family: Bacterial small subunit ribosomal RNA
Source: RNAcentral